UACGUAGGCAGCAAGCGUUGUUCGGAAUUACUGGGCGUAAAGCGUGCGCAGGCGGUUUUGUAAGCCAGAUGUGAAAUCCCCGGGCUCAACCUGGGAAUGGCAUUUGGGACUGCAAGGCUGGAGUGUGGCAGAGGAGACUGGAAUUCCUGGUGUAGCAGUGAAAUGCGUAGAUAUCAGGAGGAAUACCGAUGGCGAAGGCAGGUCUCUGGGCUGACACUGACGCUCAUGCACGAAAGCGUGGGGAGCAAACAGG
Molecule: ribosomal RNA, 253 nt
Filed under: uncultured bacterium
Lineage: Bacteria
Description: partial 16S ribosomal RNA
Rfam family: Bacterial small subunit ribosomal RNA
Source: RNAcentral